AUCCAGCUGACGAGUUUCAAAUAGGACGAAAACCGUAUCUUGUAU
This is a non-coding RNA of Schistosoma rodhaini, 45 nucleotides long. The record is from Rfam. Lineage: Eukaryota; Metazoa; Platyhelminthes; Trematoda; Strigeidida; Schistosomatidae.